GGGGUUGUGGCUCAGUGAUAGAGCACUCGCCUUGCAUGUGUGAGGCCCUGGGUUUGAUUCUCAGCAACACAU
RNAcentral lists this transfer RNA (72 nucleotides) under Marmota monax (woodchuck). It matches the Rfam family "tRNA". Rfam says of the family: Transfer RNA (tRNA) molecules are approximately 80 nucleotides in length. Lineage: Eukaryota; Metazoa; Chordata; Mammalia; Rodentia; Sciuridae. The record is from Rfam by way of RNAcentral.